RNAcentral lists this ribosomal RNA (380 nucleotides) under uncultured bacterium. Its description in RNAcentral is "bacterial SSU rRNA". It matches the Rfam family "Bacterial small subunit ribosomal RNA", at positions 521 to 896 of the family's 1533-position model. The record is from RNAcentral.
UAAGACGAACCGUGCGAACGUUAUUCGGAAUCAUUGGGCUUAAAGGGCGCGUAGGCGGCCCGUUAAGUGGGGGGUGAAAGUCCGGCGGCUCAACCGCGGAAGCGCUUCCCAUACUGGCGGGCUACGAGGGAGGUAGGGGUCGGCGGAACUUCCGGUGGAGCGGUGAAAUGUGUUGAGAUCGGAAGGAACGCCAGUGGCGAAAGCGGCCGACUGGACCUCGCCUGACGCUGAGGCGCGAAAGCUAGGGGAGCAAACGGGAUUAGAUACCCCGGUAGUCCUAGCCGUAAACGAUGGGCACAGGGUAGGGAGCGUGCCGAUGACGCCCCCUGCCGCAGCGAAAGUGUUCAGUGCCCCGCCUGGGGAGUAUGGUCGCAAGGCUG